GCUUGAGGCGUCUGUUGCUCAUGGACGUCAAAAAGGGUCCUUUGAUGACUGGGCGCUUACCUCACCAGAAUGAGAUGAACUUCAAAUGCUAAAAGGAUGGCCUUUUCAAACCUGUGGGUAGCAAGGAAGGCUGAGCUUUACACCUUUUCACUCUCCUAAAGUUCUAAAUAACUGAGCCUGCCUAAAACCAUCGUGAUGUAUUUUUCCUAAGAGUUGAAAACGGCCUAAAGAAUUGAUGAUGCAGGUGAAGAAGGAGAAGACGAUAUAGUCGUAGUCUAUCGAGUUGGUGUCCCCUGUGAAAGGGUCAUUCGAUGCCGGGGGAUCUCCACUCACAAGUUGAGAACAGCUUCUACAUAGGCUGAGAAUAUCUUCAACAUUUUUCAGAGUUGAUCAGGAUUUUUAUUUUUAUUGUCAGUGCUAUGAUAAAUACUUAGUGCAAAGUGACAGAAGUAUGUUUGGGACUAUUUCCAAUAUUGUUUGAAAUUUUGUCCUGAUUCCAACACAAAAUUGAACAGUUUUUAUGAGGCUUAAGCCAGCAACUCAAGCAGUAAUUUUGAAAAUCAAGUAUUCUAACAUAAUGCAAUCAAAGCCAUGCUAAUUUGAUACAUGCUGAGCAAUGGUGGAUGGAAAUAUUAUUAUAAAAGCCCUUGCUUUGUGUAGUUAAGCCAUUAAGUUUCCAAAGACGAGAAAAUGUUUCAUGUACAAUAAAGGCACUGCAACUCAUACCACAGCCUGCCCUCACCACCUCGGGAUGCUUUCAGAUGCUUCGAUUUUCACCCUCUAAUGGAUACAGUACACCAACCAAAGAAAUGUUCUGUCUUGCGUUUCUUUGUAAUGAAAAGCCAAUCACCUUCAUCUGAAAGUUUUCUCAUUACUCAGUGUUUUCCCAUUUGUAUAGUGUGUUGUUGGUAUUUUUCUUAUUGAUUUGUGUUAGUGCAUUGCAUACUGGGGAAAUAAAUCUUAUGUUGAUUAUAUGUUGUGAGUGGUUUUCCCACUUUUAUGGUUCAUCUCUUCACUCAUAAUAUCUUGAUGGGAAAAAAUUCCUAAUGAAACCAAUUUAUUGGUCUUUUCCUUCAUUAGUAAUACCUGUUUCCUAUUUCAGAGAUCUCUUCUUGCCCUUCUACAUUAAGACUUUUAAUUUUUUUCUAAAAUUUUAGUAUUUUUCUUUGCUCUAGAAAUUUACUUUCUUAAAUUAGAGAAAAGGUGAGCACUGAAGUUCUUCACUCCUCUCCUUGGGGAGAAUGAACAGUAGAAGAGGUGACGUGCUCCGCUCUGCAGUACUUUGUUAGGGUUUCAUUUUGAGCCUAUGACAAGAAGACACAUCACAGAAAGAAUGUGUGGUAGAAGAAUCUGCUUACAUUGCCUCGUGGUAGAAGCAAGCAAAAAAGAGAGGAAGACAGAACUGGACUCCCAGUAUCUUCUUCAUGUGCAGAGCCCAAAAGACCUGACUUCCUUCACUAGGACUCUCUUCAGAAAGGCUCCACUGCCUCCCAACAGCAGUCUGUCCAGCAAGCUUAAACGCAUGCGCCUUGGGGGACACGCAUAACCAUGACAUUUGCUUGUAAACUGGAAAAGUAAUGUAUGUGUGAAAUACUUCUCACUUUUCUUUUCUGUUGAUAUAUUAUCCUUUUGUAUAUUGCUGGAUUUGAUAUGCUAUUCUGCUUCAGAUGUAGAGAGCUUUAACAAAUGGUGUGGACCUGUAAUUGCUUGUCUGUUAAGGUCUUUCUCUGCUUUUAGUAUCAAGGGCAGCCUAGCUAACUUCAUAAAAAGAGUUACAGAAUAUACUUGCCUUUCUGUGGUCAGUUAUUAUUUUUGCCUAUUAUUUGUCUUAUCUUUGGAAUCAGGUUUUCAAAAACCUCACCCCACCCCAAAAAAAUAUCCAAUUGGCCUUUCAUUCAACUUUCUUUGUGUAUAUUCAUUUCCUUUCAUGUAAGCCUUUCUGGAACAUGGUUUGUGUCUACAAUGUUCCCAUAUAAGCCUCUUAAUCUCCAAAUUUGUUCUCAUUUUCAUUAUAUUCCAUACCUUGUAAAAGGCAGGAUUCUAAAAGUAUUCUUGUAAGAUUCUCACCUCUGGUUAGUCAAUAAAAUAAUAAUCCAAGUAUUGCUAUCAAGGAAAUCUGCAGAAGAAAUUGAAGCUAUAGACCUUUUAGAGGGGAAAAUUCUCCUGGACAAUCUGAGUAGAGCCAAUUGAACUACUUCCCUGGCAAAAAGAGAAGUUUAGCUGGAGUCCGAGAGAUAUGGCAGAAGAGGAAAAAAUGAGAUAGGAAGUAAUCAGAGGUAGUCAAAUCGUAAGAAGGAUUUGGUGCUUCAUCUGUGAUUUUUGAAAACGGGAAGGGCCCGCAGCCAAGGAGUGCAGUUACCUACCCUUCAGAGGCUCGCCUAACAGCUGGCAAGUAGGAGCUCAGCCCUGCCAAGGGCAGAAUUAAACUCAAACUCCAAGGAAACCUGGAAACAUUCUUCUCAGACAGCAGAAGGAGCACACCCUGCUGAUAUUCAAAUUCUGUGAAACCUAAAACAGAACAGGCUAAGCUACACUGUCUGCAUUCUUGACCUAUAGAACAAUAUGAUGAUGUUACCCAAGGUAUAAAAUGUAUGGCUGGGGCUAGCUAGAUGGUUCAGUGAGUAAAGUCACUAGAUAGCAAGACUGACUUCCUGAGUUUGAUCCAGUUACAUGGUAGAGGAAGGGAAACAACCCAUACAGAUUAUCUUCUGACCUCCACACAUGUGCCAUGGCAUAGAGAUGUGUUCGAACAUACUAUUUAAAAAAUUUUUAAACAUAGCAAUGUGUUAACUGCAGCAAAAAGAAAAACCUUUCUUACAAGCAAAGUAUCUUUGAUAGUUCAUCAGAGAGACUUUUCUGUUCAGUGACAUCUGCAAAGUCACACUGUGGUAUGCAUUGUUUGCCUAUUUGGGUUCAUCCAUCACACUCUUCUGAAGUAAACAGUCAUUCUAGGUGGGUCGAGGUAAGUGUCCUGUGCACCUUUAGAAUGCCUACACACUAAAGUUGAAUGAAAUCUAUAAAUGAGUGAACUGUGGAGAUGUGCUCAGGGGCAGGGUACAUGUAGGCAGAGAGAUGGAGAGAAGUGUGUCAGGAACCUGAACUGAGGAGCCCAGAGCAGUCCAGAGAAGCCACCACCCCCACCACAGUCAGGGGAGCAACAGUACGGGAAGUUAAGUAUGCUGAACUUGGAUGGGGGGAAGCCAAGAUCCAGCCAGACGCUAACACCCAGUAACCAAGGUAAACACAAGUGUGGACAAGCUUGCCACACCCCUCAUAGUCUCAGCCACAGAAAGCCCAGAAUGGGAGUAUGAUUCCCAGCACACCAGAGACAAAGUUGUUAAGGACAGGCAAGAGUCUCACACUGGGGGAUUGCUGUAAAAGUGGAGCUCUGUGUAGUAAGCUGGAGAAGAAUUCUGACUUGAAUAACUGAGGUUAACAGCCCUCUUCUUCCUACAGGACCGUGCUACAAAUGAGAUGGGAGAAACCACAUUCACCCCUGCUACCAGAAAGAGCGAUACUAAAAUAGCUUCAAUUUCAUUUGUUUUUUUUUUUUUAAUUUUAGUUUAGUUUACAAAGUAGCAGGUUUCUUUAUGGUAUUUUCUUAACAUGUUUUUUGGUUGUUACACACACACACACACACACACACACACACACACACACACACCUUCCCAUUCCACCACUAUCUGCUCUAACCUUCCCUCCACUAUGCCUCUUUAUAUCACAUAUUCUGUUCCCCUCCCGCCUCCUGCCUUAAAGCCUACUCCAUGCCCCCUUCUAGCUUCCUGGCCACUACCCCACUAACCCCAUACCUAAAUACACACAUUCACACAUUUGAUUUCAUUUCGUUUUAGAUUGUAACUCAUCUGAAAAGACUUUUCUGACCGCUUUCCCUGUAUAUGCACUACUUUACCUUGUAGCUCUCUUCCCUCUAACCACUCCCUUUGGGUGCUCUUUUAUGACCUUUUCCCCGUGUCUCCACCAUUUUCCUUCAUCGUCCUCUUUCCUCUAACCAUGCAAUUUCCAGGUUGCUCAUUUGCUCCCUC
Molecule: non-coding RNA, 4043 nt
Organism: Peromyscus maniculatus bairdii (prairie deer mouse)
Lineage: Eukaryota; Metazoa; Chordata; Mammalia; Rodentia; Cricetidae
Source: RefSeq, a predicted model, not a curated record